GACGAACGCUGGCGGCGUGCUUAACACAUGCAAGUCGAACGGAAAGGCCCUGCUUGCAGGGUACUCGCGUGGCGAACGGGUGGGUAACACGUGGGUGAUCUGCCCUGCACUUCGGGAUAAGCUUGGGAGACUGGGUGUAAUACCGGAUAGGAACCAUCUUUAGUGUGGUGGUUGGAAAGUUUUUUCGGUGUAGGAUGAGCUCGCGGCCUAUCAGCUUGCUGGUGGGGUAAUGGCCUACCAAGGCGGCGACGGAUAGCCGGCCUGAGAGGGUGUACGGCCACACUGGGACUGUGAGACGGGCCAGAGUCGGACGGGAGGCAGCAGUGGGGAAUAUUGGACAAUGGGAGCAAGCCUGAUGGAGCGAGGCCGCGUGGGCGAUGAACGCCUUCGGGUUGUAAACUCCUAUCGCUAGGGAAGAAGCUUUGUUGUGACGGUACCUAGAUAAGAAGCACCGGCUAACUACGUG
RNAcentral lists this ribosomal RNA (466 nucleotides) under uncultured bacterium. Its description in RNAcentral is "partial 16S ribosomal RNA". It matches the Rfam family "Bacterial small subunit ribosomal RNA", at positions 28 to 507 of the family's 1533-position model. The record is from RNAcentral.